CGUGGGGAACCUGCCCCAUAGUCUGGGAUACCACUUGGGAACAGGUGCUAAUACCGGAUAAGAAAGCAGAUCGCAUGAUCAGCUUUUAAAAGGCGGCGUAAGCUGUCGCUAUGGGAUGGCCCCGCGGUGCAUUAGCUAGUUGGUAAGGUAAAGGCUUACCAAGGCGAUGAUGCAUAGCCGAGUUGAGAGACUGAUCGGCCACAUUGGGACUGAGACACGGCCCAAACUCCUACGGGAGGCAGCAGGC
This 247-nucleotide ribosomal RNA is filed under the name uncultured Lactobacillus sp. Its description in RNAcentral is "partial 16S ribosomal RNA". It matches the Rfam family "Bacterial small subunit ribosomal RNA", at positions 116 to 354 of the family's 1533-position model. Lineage: Bacteria; Bacillati; Bacillota; Bacilli; Lactobacillales; Lactobacillaceae. The record is from RNAcentral.